Molecule: ribosomal RNA, 460 nt
Filed under: uncultured bacterium
Lineage: Bacteria
Description: partial 16S ribosomal RNA
Rfam family: Bacterial small subunit ribosomal RNA
Source: RNAcentral
CCUACGGGUGACAGCAGUGAGGAAUAUUGGUCAAUGGACGCAAGUCUGAACCAGCCAUGCCGCGUGCAGGAAGACGGCUCUAUGAGUUGUAAACUGCUUUUGUACGAGGGUAAACGCAGAUACGCGUAUCUGUCUGAAAGUAUCGUACGAAUAAGGAUCGGCUAACUCCGUGCCAGCAGCCGCGGUAAUACGGAGGAUUCAAGCGUUAUCCGGAUUUAUUGGGUUUAAAGGGUGCGUAGGCGGUCGGAUAAGUUAGAUGUGAAAUCCCGAGGCUCAACUUCGGAAUUGCCUCUGAUACUGUUCGGCGAGAGAGUAGAUGCGGUAGGCGGAAUGUAUGGUGUAGCGGUGAAAUGCUUAGAGAUCAGACAGAACACCGAUUGCGAAGGCAGCUUACCAAGCUACUUCUGACGUUGAGGCACGAAAGCGUGGGGAGCAAACAGGAUUAGAUACCCCAGUAGUC